Molecule: ribosomal RNA, 480 nt
Filed under: uncultured bacterium
Lineage: Bacteria
Description: partial 16S ribosomal RNA
Rfam family: Bacterial small subunit ribosomal RNA
Source: RNAcentral
GACGAACGCUGGCGGCGUGCCUAACACAUGCAAGUCGAGCGAAUGAAGUUCCUUCGGGAAUGGAUUUAGCGGCGGACGGGUGAGUAACACGUGGGCAACCUGCCUCAUAGAGGGGAAUAGCCUUCCGAAAGGGAGAUUAAUACCGCAUAAGAUUGUAGUACCGCAUGGUAUAGCAAUUAAAGGAGCAAUCCGCUAUGAGAUGGGCCCGCGGCGCAUUAGCUAGUUGGUGAGGUAACGGCUCACCAAGGCGACGAUGCGUAGCCGACCUGAGAGGGUGAUCGGCCACAUUGGGACUGAGACACGGCCCAGACUCCUACGGGAGGCAGCAGUGGGGAAUAUUGCACAAUGGGGGAAACCCUGAUGCAGCAACGCCGCGUGAGUGAUGACGGCCUUCGGGUUGUAAAGCUCUGUCUUCAGGGACGAUAAUGACGGUACCUGAGGAGGAAGCCACGGCUAACUACGUGCCAGCCGCCGCGGUAA